AGGUUGAGUUUACUUAUCUUUUACCUUUUAUGGGUCUAAUUCUUAGGUUAGGCCAUGCUUAACAGGAUAAUUGUCACCGAUUUGCUAUCACCGUUGAUUCUAUAGACAUCACUGGCUACAAAGACUAAUUAACUGUUCCCAUUUGGUGUGUUUGUGUGUUUCCUCCACCCAGCUUGGAGUUUACUACAGCUUCAACCCAAUAUUCAUGCUCGCCGAGCCAUUGAUGUUGGCAUCUGUGUUUUUCUUCUUUUUCAUGGGUUGUGUAGCUUACCUGCACGUUGACCUUUCCAUUCGGAAGUGAAAAAGUAACACAUAUUGGGGAUUCUUAAAAGCUUUAUCGGAGAGUAACUUCGACUUUGGCUGUGUGACCUAGGCUAGCGGCCAAGAGUUCUUCAGUGCAUCAACAUGAGAAGAAAUCUUGUGAUACAUUUAAAAUUAUGAAAUUUUGUUUGGGUUUCAAAUAGGAAAUUGUUGUUUGUACAUUGUUCCCCAUUUUAUUGAGACUAAAGUAGGUCCCUGCAAUCGAAAGGGGAAGGCAUCAGAUUGCUGGUAAAACAACUCAGGAGAUAGACUGAAUCUAAAAUCGGCUGUUGAGUUCCAUUAUCUAAGUCAGAGUGGCUGCUUGGCAAUUUAUGAUGUUGAUGAUGAUAGGAAAUUUCAAACGCUUAUGGAAGCCUUAGAUACUGUUCGACUUUGCAAAGAAGACCAAGACAAUGCGUUUGAAAUGCUUGCUGCAGUGUUGUGGCUGGGAAACAUAUCAUUUCAAGUAAUUGACAAUGAAAAUCAUGUAGAGGUGGUGGCUGAUGAAGGUGGAAUGGUGAGAGAUGCUUUGUGGAGAGUGCUUUUGUCGCUGAUAUUUUCAAUAUAAUUGGUGAGAAAUGCAAUUAACUUGGAGUUUUCAGACUACAAGAGGUUGAUAAACAAUAGCAUUGUGCUACAAAACAUCAGAUUUUGCAGAAAUGUUUUUGCUGCUUGUUGCUUUCGGCUUAAUAGCAAGCGACGAAUAUAGUGCACAGUGCACAACAGAAUUGGGAGACGCAAAAUCUGAAAAUUGCUGCUCUUACCAAAGAUAUGAUUUGCUUGCUCCCUAAGUCCGGAGCGAUUUAGGAAACACAGACGAUACUUUUUUUCAUUUUUUUG
Non-coding RNA from Camellia sinensis, 1140 nucleotides. NCBI's taxonomy places the organism in Eukaryota, Viridiplantae, Streptophyta, Magnoliopsida, Ericales, Theaceae. The record is from RefSeq and is a predicted model, not a curated record.